UUGGAAUACAGUGAUAAAUUCAGGUUCCACUUCUUUAGGGUCAGUGAGUUUGAUUCCAGCAUCAGUGUAUGCUGAGGUAAUGUUAUUCUGAGAUGUUCUGAUUUUCCAUUGGGCAUGGAAAUCUUUGGUGUUUGCAUCACCACAUUCAAUCCAAACAGCUUUGGAUUUCUAUCUCAUAACCUGCUCCUCCACAGCACACCACUUCUCAAUUUCCUCCAGCAAUGCUUUCUCUUUAUCAAACAGUAGUUGUGAAACUAAGCAUUUCUGAAGUUGGUGUUGGGUAACAUCCAGUUCCUCUCUAGCCUGCCCAAGUCUUUGCUUAUAUGUAGCCAUGUAUGCAUUCAGUUCCCUUAAUUGUUGC
This 361-nucleotide long non-coding RNA is filed under the name Nicotiana benthamiana. RNAcentral's name for it is "long non-coding RNA (NBEN_LNC004225)". Lineage: Eukaryota; Viridiplantae; Streptophyta; Magnoliopsida; Solanales; Solanaceae. The record is from RNAcentral.